This 31-nucleotide non-coding RNA is filed under the name Rattus norvegicus (Norway rat). Lineage: Eukaryota; Metazoa; Chordata; Mammalia; Rodentia; Muridae. The record is from RNAcentral.
UCCUGGUGCGGGCAUAAAUUUUGUUUGCAGG